GGCUCGGUGGCUCAGCCCGGCUAGAGCAACGGACUUGUAAUCCGUCGGUCGGGGGUUCAAAUCCCCCCCGAGCCUCCA
RNAcentral lists this transfer RNA (78 nucleotides) under Candidatus Odinarchaeum yellowstonii. Its description in RNAcentral is "tRNA-Thr". It matches the Rfam family "tRNA". Rfam says of the family: Transfer RNA (tRNA) molecules are approximately 80 nucleotides in length. Lineage: Archaea; Promethearchaeati; Candidatus Odinarchaeota; Candidatus Odinarchaeia; Candidatus Odinarchaeales; Candidatus Odinarchaeaceae. RNAcentral also lists the same sequence under 1 other name. The record is from RNAcentral.